RNAcentral lists this ribosomal RNA (567 nucleotides) under Triticum aestivum (bread wheat). RNAcentral describes it as "partial small subunit ribosomal RNA". The record is from RNAcentral. Lineage: Eukaryota; Viridiplantae; Streptophyta; Magnoliopsida; Poales; Poaceae.
AUGGCUGCUGCUACUGCUCAAGCUCAACCUCGUGUCAUGGUGCUCCCCUUUCCUGCACAGGGCCACGUCAUCCCGCUCAUGGAGCUGUCCCGCAAGCUCGCCGAGCACGGCUUGGAGAUCGACUUCGUGAACACCGAGUUCAACCACGGCCGCGUCCUCCAAACCUUGGAAGAGGACGGAGCAAUCCCAGGAGGAGUUCACAUGCUCUCCAUUCCAGACGGCCUGGGGCCUGGCUACGACCAUACGGACAUCGGCGCGCUGGUCAAGGGACUGCCGGCCGCCAUGUCCGGCCGCCUCGAGGAGAUGAUCAGGUCAAGGAAGACGAAGUGGAUGAUAGUGGACGUGUCCAUGAGCUGGGCGCUGGAGCUGGCCACCACGGCGGGUGUCCGUGUCGCCUUGUUCUCCACGUACUCUGCAGCCGUGUUCACGCUCAGGUUGAAGCUCCCAAAGCUGAUCGAGGACGACGUUCUUAAUGAAAGUGGGAACGUGAAGAGGAACGAGAGGGUCCAACUGAUGCCGCCCGUUGACGCGGCCGAGAUCCCUUGUCAGCCUGGGCAGCAUGCCUGA